GCUACAUUACAAGUAACUAGAACAGUGCCUGUGAUAGUGGCUUACUGUUGUUGAAUGAAUGAAUGGAGAGAUGAAUCAAGGUCUGCUGCAAUUGGUGGACAAUUGGAGGAGCACCAAAGGAAGACUGGACAGGGCAAAAGUAUGUACCUACAGCAUAUUCACUCUCAAGUGAGUACCUACGACAUGGGCAGUUGAGUCCUGACUGUAUGAUGUUCUGGCCUUGGGCUGUCUUUUCUGCUUACAGUUGAAGACAGUUGUGUUUUGAUUUCAGAAUUCAUCAUACUUAAAAUAAGAAGUCAUACUGACUCUAAGAAGAUAGUGGAAAACUGAAAUUCUAUCUUCACUGGAAUAUUUUGAAUAUGUUUCUCAGUGAAGAGAUGAGAAAACUGAAGAACAAAGAGUUUAAGUAACUUGUCCACUUGCCACGCCUAGUAAUUGGGAUUGACCUAGACAGUGUGACUCAAGAGUUUGUCCUCUUAAUCAAUGCACUCCUAUGCCUCAAGUUACACUCUUCUGCCUGAUAUCCAGAUAGGACCUGUGUUGGAGCCUUAUCAGUAUGGACCCAGGGUGAGUCACACUUGCAGGGACUGCCAAUGAUAGAAUUCUGUAUGCUAGGUUUUCCCACCUCCAAAAAGUCCACAUGAUUCGACAUUGACAUAAACAAUUACUGGUAUUUUGGUUUGCAUCAAAUUAGUUACUUUGUCAUCACUCAAAUUUGGAGAUUGAAGACAUGGUCCCUGCUUAUAUGUUUAGCUUAAGUAAAGUGUG
RNAcentral lists this long non-coding RNA (768 nucleotides) under Equus caballus (horse). RNAcentral's name for it is "lncRNA (ENSECAG00000052583.1)". The record is from RNAcentral. Lineage: Eukaryota; Metazoa; Chordata; Mammalia; Perissodactyla; Equidae.